GACAAUCUGGGAUUCAACUGUCUUCUUAUUAAUAAUACAGAAUACAACACAGAUACAAACAAGGUAGUUCCGGUACGGACUACAAAACAAGGAAAAUGCUAUGCUACCCGCUGCAGGCCCACGAUCACGACCACGGCUCAGUCCUCCGGAUAGUUCACGUAAAGGCGGUCUGUCUCCUCGUCGUACUGCCACGCCAGCUGGGUGCCGUCGGGAUCAUCGGACU
This 223-nucleotide long non-coding RNA is filed under the name Hordeum vulgare. RNAcentral's name for it is "long non-coding RNA (HVUL_LNC004015)". Lineage: Eukaryota; Viridiplantae; Streptophyta; Magnoliopsida; Poales; Poaceae. The record is from RNAcentral.